RNAcentral lists this ribosomal RNA (484 nucleotides) under Lamellibrachia anaximandri. RNAcentral's name for it is "partial 16S ribosomal RNA". It matches the Rfam family "Bacterial large subunit ribosomal RNA", at positions 1911 to 2611 of the family's 2925-position model. Lineage: Eukaryota; Metazoa; Annelida; Polychaeta; Sabellida; Siboglinidae. The record is from RNAcentral.
ACCACAUAGUUCAAUGGCCGCGGUACCCUGACCGUGCAAAGGUAGCAUAAUCACUUGCCCCUUAAUUAGGGGCUGGCAUGAAAGGACACACGAAAGCUUCCCUGUCUCACAAUAACAAAUAAAAAUUAAUCUUCAAGUGAAAAAGCUUGAAUAAAAUUGCAGGACAAGAAGACCCCGUUGAGCUUUAUUCUCUAUAGACUAAAUCAAAUAUUAAAUACAUCAUAAACCUAAAAAGAAUUUAGUUGGGGUGACUAAGGAACACCGAAAACUUCCUUUUAUUAAUUAGGAUCAUUCUCCAUACAAAUUGACCCAUUACACAUGAUCAAAAAAAUAAGCUACCACAGGGAUAACAGGCUAAUCUUUCUCAAGAGCCCAAAUUGUCAGAAAGGAUUGGCACCUCGAUGUUGGCUUAGGGGCCCCUAAUGGUGCAGAAGCCAUAAAUGGUAGGUUUGUUCAACCUUUAAAACCCUACGUGAUCUGAGUU